This 397-nucleotide ribosomal RNA is filed under the name Enterococcus sp. ZYQ-2015-15. RNAcentral's name for it is "bacterial SSU rRNA". It matches the Rfam family "Bacterial small subunit ribosomal RNA", at positions 966 to 1363 of the family's 1533-position model. Lineage: Bacteria; Bacillati; Bacillota; Bacilli; Lactobacillales; Enterococcaceae. The record is from RNAcentral.
AAGACUACCAGGUCUUGACAUCCUUUGACCACUCUAGAGAUAGAGCUUUCCCUUCGGGGACAAAGUGACAGGUGGUGCAUGGUUGUCGUCAGCUCGUGUCGUGAGAUGUUGGGUUAAGUCCCGCAACGAGCGCAACCCUUAUUGUUAGUUGCCAUCAUUUAGUUGGGCACUCUAGCGAGACUGCCGGUGACAAACCGGAGGAAGGUGGGGAUGACGUCAAAUCAUCAUGCCCCUUAUGACCUGGGCUACACACGUGCUACAAUGGGAAGUACAACGAGUCGCUAGACCGCGAGGUCAUGCAAAUCUCUUAAAGCUUCUCUCAGUUCGGAUUGCAGGCUGCAACUCGCCUGCAUGAAGCCGGAAUCGCUAGUAAUCGCGAUCAGCACGCCCGUCGUCC